Molecule: ribosomal RNA, 468 nt
Filed under: uncultured bacterium
Lineage: Bacteria
Description: partial 16S ribosomal RNA
Rfam family: Bacterial small subunit ribosomal RNA
Source: RNAcentral
GACGAACGCUGGCGGCGUGCUUAACACAUGCAAGUCGAACGGAAAGGCCCUGCUCUUGUGGGGUGCUCGAGUGGCGAACGGGGGAGUAACACGUGAGUAACCUGCCCUUGACUUUGGGAUAACUUCAGGAAAAUGGGGCUAAUACCGCAUAGGAGCUCCUGCUGCAUGGGGGGGGUUGGAAAGAUUCGGCGGUUGGGGCUGGACUCGCGGCUUAUCAGCUUGUUGGUGGGGUAGUGGCUUACCAAGGCUUUGACGGGUAGCCGGCCUGGGAGGGUGACCGGGCACAUUGGGACUGAGAUACGGCCCAGACGCCUACGGGAGGCAGCAGUGGGGAGUAUUGCGCAAUGGGCGGAAGCCUGAUGCAGCGGCGCCGCGUGCGGGAUGCCGGCCUUCGGGUUGUAAACCGCUUUCGCCUGUGACGAAGCGUGAGUGACGGUAAUGGGUAAAAAAGCACCGGCUAACUACGUG